This 253-nucleotide ribosomal RNA is filed under the name uncultured bacterium. RNAcentral's name for it is "partial 16S ribosomal RNA". It matches the Rfam family "Bacterial small subunit ribosomal RNA", at positions 524 to 776 of the family's 1533-position model. The record is from RNAcentral.
UACGAAGGGUGCAAGCGUUAAUCGGAAUUACUGGGCGUAAAGCGCGCGUAGGUGGUUCAGUAAGUUGAAGGUGAAAUCCCCGGGCUCAACCUGGGAUCUGCCUCCAAAACUGCUGAGCUAGAGUAUGGUAGAGGGUAGUGGAAUUUCCUGUGUAGCGGUGAAAUGCGUAGAUAUAGGAAGGAACACCAGUGGCGAAGGCGACUACCUGGACUAAUACUGACACUGAGGUGCGAAAGCGUGGGGAGCAAACAGG